This 753-nucleotide unclassified non-coding RNA is filed under the name Hevea brasiliensis (rubber tree). The record is from RNAcentral. Lineage: Eukaryota; Viridiplantae; Streptophyta; Magnoliopsida; Malpighiales; Euphorbiaceae.
UCUAGGGCUGAUACAUCCAUGCUUGCUGGGAGCAAGAAUGCUGGGAAGCACAGUAUUUCCAUGGUUGUUGAGUGGUCCAUCAUCUCUUAGAACUGAGGAUUGCCUAGUGUACGCGUUUAUUGUACUAGGGUUCACCUUGUCAAUUGUGGCUUAUGAUUAUCAGGAAAUUGCAAUUCUAGUAUCACUGUUCUGCUUAUUCCAUGCUGUUGUAGGCCUGAUAAUACCUUCACUUGCAAGAUUGAGGACCAUGCAUGUGCCAAAUGAGUUGCGUGGAGGAAUGAUAAGCCUUUCUCUAGCUCCUGCAAAUGCAGCUAUUCUGUUUUGGCUGAUGCAAAGAGGCUAUUAUCAGAAAAUUGAGAAUUCAACUAUGAUGGCGUUUGCUGCUCUUGGGCUUUUCUUAGCAGCUGGUUGCAUGCAUUUGUUGAAGCAAUGGGGAAAGCAACCAUACCAGAACUGGCACGAGUUAUGAUUUCGACAACUCCAUUAUACACCAAGCUCAGCGCUACAAUUGAUAUCAUCUUAACUUAGAUGGUAAUUGAGGUGAAGGAGGAAAUUGUGUGCCCUCGAGACAUAGAGAGGCAGGCAAGAAGGUCCAAUGUCAUAUAUAUUGCCAGUUAAGGGAGGGUGCAGCCAUUCCAAGCUGAAUACACAUUAUGAGCUAGCCGAGAGCAACUUACAUUGGAGAUUUUUUAUUCAAUGUUCAUUCAUGCAAAGUGUACUUAGCGCAGUUGAAUCUUGGAUUUUUCAGCUCCC